ACGAACGCUGGCGGCGUGCUUAACCCAUGCCAGUCGAACGGAAAGGCCCUGCUUUUGUGUGGUGCUCGAGUGGCGAACGGGUGAGUAACACGUGAGUAACCUGCCCUUGACUUUGGGAUAACUUCAGGAAACUGGGGCUAAUACCGGAUAGGAGCUCCUGCUGCAUGGUGGGGGUUGGAAAGUUUCGGCGGUUGGGGAUGGACUCGCGGCUUAUCAGCUUGUUGGUGGGGUAGUGGCUUACCAAGGCUUUGACGGGUAGCCGGCCUGAGAGGGUGACCGGCCACAUUGGGACUGAGAUACGGCCCAGACUCCUACGGGAGGCAGCAGUGGGGAAUAUUGCACAAUGGGCGGAAGCCUGAUGCAGCAACGCCGCGUGCGGGAUGACGGCCUUCGGGUUGUAAACCGCUUUCGCCUGUGACGAAGCGUGAGUGACGGUAAUGGGUAAAGAAGCACCGGCUAACUACGUG
RNAcentral lists this ribosomal RNA (467 nucleotides) under uncultured bacterium. RNAcentral describes it as "partial 16S ribosomal RNA". It matches the Rfam family "Bacterial small subunit ribosomal RNA", at positions 29 to 507 of the family's 1533-position model. The record is from RNAcentral.